UACCACGUUAGGAAACGAGGUGCUAAUACCGGAUAAGAAAGCAGAUCGCAUGAUCAGCUUUUAAAAAGGCGGCGUAAGCUGUCGCUAUGGGAUGGCCCGCGGUGCAUUAGCUAGUUGGUAAGGUAAAGGCUUACCAAGGCGAUGAUGCAUAGCCCGAGUUGAGAGACUGAUCGGGCCACAUUGGGGACUGAGACACGGGGCCCAAACUCCUACGGGGGGAGGGGCAGCAGUAGGGGGAAUCUUCCACAAUGGACGCAAGUCUGAUGGAGCAACGCCGCGUGAGUGAAGUAAGGUUUUCGGAUCGUAAAGCUCUGUUGUUGGUGAAGAAGGAUAGAGGUAGUAACUGGCCUUUAUUUGACGGUAAUCAACCAGAAAGUCACGGCUAACUACGUGCCAGCAGCCGCGGUAAU
Molecule: ribosomal RNA, 410 nt
Filed under: uncultured Lactobacillus sp.
Lineage: Bacteria; Bacillati; Bacillota; Bacilli; Lactobacillales; Lactobacillaceae
Description: bacterial SSU rRNA
Rfam family: Bacterial small subunit ribosomal RNA
Source: RNAcentral